CUGGAGCUGGGGAGCCGAAGGGGACAGGAUUGGUGCACACGUAAGGCCCUGUGUCCUGGGGACAUCGCUUGACUCGGCGCAGCACUCUCGGCCAGGAGGUCUUGUUUAUGCAGUCCAGCCUGGGCUCAAACGCAAGGUGAUCCUCCUGCCUCAGCCUCCUGUGUGCUGGGAUUACAGGUGUGCACCGCUGGACCCGGCAGGACCCCCUAUCUAAUGAGGCUACAGCAUGAAAGCUACAGCCAGAAGAGAGCGCCAUGGGCACAGCGCAGGCGAGCCCCGCAGCACGCGCAAGUCUGCAUAGGGAGCUUCUAAAAAAAAGAGGUAAGAAGAGAGGAAAGGGGAAAAGCAGAAGAUAAAGAGGAAGGGCAACUGAGGGCAAGGACGUGAAAGAUAGAAACAAGGAGGCCAGGGGCUGUGAUCCAAGGACGCGGUCCCAGAGAGGGGAAAGAGGAAACGCUUGUCCUGGCUUCCAUUUACACAGCAGCUUCCUCCGGUGCAGGGGUUUUAUGAAUCCCACAUCGUGGCCAGCAAACGGAGGCUCACAGAUGUUGCAUGGUUUGUCCAAGGGCUCUGUUCUUGGUGGAGGUGGGCUUCGGACUCCGAAGCUGUGGUCUGUCCCUGUCUACGACGGCUCUAGGGGAAGCUGGGGCUGAGGAUCCCCCAAGAACCUGGGGGCUGCUUUCCCCAGAGCAGAGGCUGUGGCUUCUCGGAGGAUUUGCUGAAGGGUGGAAGACCCGGGAUUUUGCGGCUAAUCCUUCUGCAUCCAGUUACUGCGCAGUUAGGGAGAGGACACUGCCUAUUACUGGGUGUGUGGGUGUCUGGGAGGGACAGGGGGCCAUCAGUGUCCACCGUGGGGAAGGCAGGGUCAAGGAUGUAGAUGAGGGACAGAACAGAGCCUGAGAAGAGAUCCAGGGAGCUAGGAAGGGGCCAGAAAGCCAUUGGAAGCAGGGUCUGGAACUUGGUACUCCCUUCUCCCGGAGACAUGGGUGUGGGGAGGAGGGAGGAGGGAGGACAUUUCUAUCUCGUGACAAAAGAAAGUCACACAAUUGUUUUGUUUUCUAUUCUGGGGCGGGUGGGCGCUUGUAUUUACCAGAGGGACUGAGGUCGCUGUGGCAACCACACAUCUGGGCCCCGGAAUCCAGAUGUGCUGUAUCGAGGAGCCAUAGCAGAACGAUGAGGCAAAUGCUAGGUUCCCCAGUCCUGGCCCCCACUGCUGGGGCGAGAACAGAGCACUGGGAUGGGAAAGUGCGGGGGGUGAGGGGUGGCUGGAGCGGGGAGGAGAAAGGAUGGAGGGGACAAGGACAUGGACGAGGAGAAAGGGACCCAAGGGGAGUGGGCAUGAGAGGGAGGAGGUUACACGGGGUCAGCGGCAGGAGAAGGCCUGGGAGCCCAGGAAUGGGGGGACACAAAGGAGAGGCGGGAGACAGCAGCCAGGGGUAUGGGAUCCAAAGGUGGUGGCGACAUGGUGGGGCAGAGGGCAUAGUCUGGGGAAGUCUGGAGACGAGGACCAGGGAGGGGAUGCCAGGGGACAGAGGUGGUAGCCUGAGGAAAGCAGAACCGAGACAGGCUUCUAGGACAAGACAGCCAGCGAGGAACAGGAGGUGGCCUUAGUCAGAGGGACGGAGACCCGCCUAGGCCUGACCACGGCACAAGAGCCACCUUCUAGAGGGCUCCAACUCUCUGUCCCUCUGCAAUGCCACUGAUGGUUCAUACCAGCAUCUGGGCCACUUGGCAGAGGCGCGUCUGCACCACCCGAGCCCCGAAGGAGACACCAGCAGCUCAUACAGACACGGGACAGGGAGGCAGGCUGGACUCGGUCAGGCGAAGGGACUGCAGACUGGCUGGGGUCAGCCUCUCCCCUCACCCUCGGUGGGGGUGGGGGUGAGGGAGCCUCUGGUAUUUACGGAAAGGCAGGGUGGGAGCCAGCUCAGGGGAGCUGCCCUAGGUCCCACUGCCCCCAGGUCUGGCUUUGCAGCGGGACAGGCGGGAAAGGCCUGCGGGAUCCCGGGACAGGAAGCUGGGCGAGGUCCAGGGCUGUCCUCUGGAGGGAAGUGAGGUCCAAGUUCCUGGGAGCCCCAGUUCCAAGUUCCCAUAGUUACCGGCUGUUUUCCCCCCAAACACAGCACGGGGCGGGUGGUGCCGCGCAGGGGAGAGCCUGGCCGGACACGUGAGGCUUCCUCCCUCCUGUGAGCCUGGGCUGCCGGCCCGGGCGGCCCCUGUCCAGUCAUCCGGGCCCACAGCCCAGGCCCUGCUCACACCCUGCGCUGACCCAGGCCACUCCUGCAGGUCAGGCUCGAGGUGCUGCUGGCGGGGAUCCCCCAUCAGGCUUGGGCACAGCCCUGCUGUCUUCCCAUGUGGAAUGCAGUCAGCUCCACCUGGGCCUCCUAAUGCUGUGGGUCAGGUACCUGAGCCCCGGUGAGGGUGUGUGGACGCCCACAACUUGGCCCAGCCCCCGAGAACUGCUCACCCUGGAAGCAGGGGAAGCAGGGACAACUUUCUGGGGAGCCCAGGAUGGGUGGGAGCUGUACACCCUCGAGGGUGGGGCACCAUCCUUCCUGUUUACUCAGAUACAUUCUGGGAUCUGUGGCCCCUGGUGUCCUGCCACACAGGGACGCACUGCUAGACAGACAGACAGACAUGCCCAGGAGGCCUGCGAUCCCACCUCACCCUGCCCCAUGCCAGCUGUCUCCAGCGCUUGGUUCUUCCACACUGGCCCUGUGAAGUCACAAGCCAGCAGGAGGCACUGCCACCACCCAGACUCCUUCCAGGUGGGUUACUGGGCAGUAAAAACCAGGCACACACGCAGCACUGUCUCCCCUCCACUACCCCUUUAUUCCCACUACCUCACAAUGUAAACCCCCCUAGUCCCGCCUGGGGACCAACAGCCUGGCACAGCGCCCCAGGGGAACAAAAGAACAGAGCGUAUGGGAGCCCCCACCCUAAAACUGAGGCUCACUCCGGACCCUCAGAGGAAGCAGGGACCGGGGUUCCAUAGCAAUGAGGAGCCCUAUAUCCCCAGAAGGGGAGGAAGGAGGGGUAAACCACCUGACCCCACUAAGUGCUCAGCCCCAAACCCUGUCUUUCCUCUACCAGCUGCCCCGAAUCCACACCAGGGCCUGGGAAACCCGCAAAGCGACGAGGCUCCCGCACCCAGCCGCCUCAGGCAGCCAGUGCAGGGGUCAGGGGUGGCGGAGGUAGAAGGCCCGGUGGGGGCCCUGGUGAGCCUGGCUGGUGGUGGCGUUGCCCUGGGCUGGGGCUGGCGGCUUCCGCAGCGAGGGGGGCACCGUGGAGGUCUUGAUGUGAAUCACUCGGGUGUCCAUGACCUCACACUCAAUCUGCAUCAUCUCCUCAUAGUCCCCUGGGGCGCCCCGGCCAGACAGGGUCUCUGAGGAGGAGGAGAGGCAGAGCAGGGUAUGGGCCAGGAAGGAGAGGAGGUGUGAGGGGAGGGGGAGUAGGGCAGGGAUGCAGUGCCGUGGGGGGAGAGGGGCGGGAAAAGAAAGUAACAGGAUGAGCUUGGCAGGGGCCACACAGGCAGGACCCCAGAGGAGGGCAGAGGGCAGGUCCAGCAGCCUUAGGUCACCCCCUGCCUGGCCACUGCCCUGAUGAGCCACGCCCUCGCCCUCCUGGCGUGGUCUCUGCCACUGUGUGCUCUCUCUACCCUUGCUGCCAUCUCUCUGGACACCCCAUCGCCCGCCCUGGCAGCCCAUCCUCUCCCCUGGCCAUGGGGACUGCAGUACCGUUGGGGGCCAUGGCAGGCAUCACCAGUGACAUCUUGGGCCGUGAGGUCUUGUUGUGGCUGAUGGCCGGAAGCAGCAGAUGGUCCUGGGAGGGGCGGCCGAGGAAGAGGGAAAGGUGUAAGGUACUCACCCCUCUCUGAUCUCCAGCCCCUCUCUUGAGGACAGGCUGUGGUGUGGGCGGGGAGGAGCUCACCCUCCGGAAAGAGACCACAUAAAACGUGUCUUCCCGCCGGUCAAUGGCAUCCAGGAACUCUGGCUGGGACCGAUCUGGGCGUCGGUAGAGCUGCAGCUGGCCCACAGGGUCCCUAGGUAGGGGAUCCGGUCCAGGAGUGAGCCCUGCACCCUCUUCCCUCUGGCCAGAGACCUCGGCAGUGAGGUGAUCACAAUCCUGCUGGGGACAAGGCUGGCGAGCACAGACCUGCGGGGUGGACUCCUGCUUGAUCAGCUGCACCUCCCCGUCCUCACCUUUCGGGGGGCCCCGGAGGCUGGCUGGGGACUGCCUUCACUGCGAGCAGCUUCCUGCGUGGUUGAGACUUCUGGAAGGAGAGGCACUUCAGGAUGGGCAGAGGGUGAGGGAGAAGGGAAAGGGACAGCCUGGUGGCUGACACCUCCCUGCUGCUUCCCCCCAGUUCCUAAAAUCUUGUCCUAGAGGUGAGGCUACGCAAUGGCCUGGGGACACCAGCCCUGUCAGAGCAGACCCUGCCCACCUGUCUCUCCUGGGCCCUCUGCGGGCUCCUCCGACGGCCUCUCUGGUGGCGCUGUACCCAGCCGCUCAGCUCAUCAGCCAGCCUGCGGAGCAGAGGGGUCGUCGGCAGUCCAGGCUGGGCCCGGGCACCCACUUCCCAGGCAUGAACCAGAGAGGGUGGAGGUCAGCACUCAGGAGGCGACGCCCGCACCUCAGGGAUUCGGUCCGGUUGAAGUGCCGGCAGUCAGAGGAGAGGAAGAGCUGGUCCAGGUCCCGCAGCAGCAGCUCCUUGGCAGCGCCAGGGAAGGCUGUCAAGUUCCUGGAGCAAGGAAGACAGUACCAUGUGAGGAUGCCCCAUAGUUGGCACUCCCUCUGUGCAGAAGCUGCCCCCUCCUCACCUGAAGCUGGGCCGGGCCACCUGGCUGGGCUGUGGCUCCUUGGGGCCCUGGGGGGACCCCUGCAGGGGCUCCAUCCCCUGAGCCGGUGGCUGCUCUGAGAACUCCAGCAGGUGCCUCUGAGCCCGGGGUGCCUGACCCCCCAUCUGCGAGGCAGGUGCUGGCGGUGGCUCACUGAUGCUGCAUGAGGGAGGGACAGUGGUGAGCAGCCGCCAGCUCUCAACAGAGCACCCUGCAGUCAGGCUGCCUGGGUGACACUGCUGUGCAAGACCUGGUCUUUCCCUCCAUGACCGGGGGAUGGUUCCCACCACACAGGUCCAGAAACAAGAAAAGGACAGCACUUAACCUGCAGCCUCAGUUCAGCAAGCUGAUACCACCGCCACUAGUGCCCCCACCACGCCCCCAAUGAACAGCUGAGCCCAGGCCCUGUGGGAUGCCCAACAUUGGGGUGCUGAGAAUGUGGAGUUGUCUGGGUGUUGGCGGGGGGAUGCCGACGGAGCCAGCGCAGACAGGCAGCCCCAGGCGGUUGGAGCUCACCUGACAGGUCCGAAGUUGAAGGCAAUGAAGAGGAGGAAGACCACGAUGCAGACCACCUUCCUGUUCCCAGAGCCCAGCUUGAGUUCACUGUUCUGCAGUGACAGCACAGGAAGAGAAUGGGAGGCAGGAGUCACCCCCAAGCAGCACCCUGCCCACCCCACAGCCCCGCAGGCUGACCUCGGCCAGCAGGGCCUCCAGCCGCCGCCGGAGGGCAGCGUUCUCCCGGCGCAGCUGCUGGUUGUCGGCCAGCACGGCCUGCAGCCGCGCCUCCAGCCCCUGCAGGUACUCCUUCUUCUUCCGCCGGGACUGGCAGGCCGACUCCCGGUUCUUGAUCAUCCGCUGCUGCCGCUUCAGCAGCUUUGCCUGGGUACCAGGGGCCACGGAGUAAGCAGAGGCGAGGCGGCAAGGGAUCGCCUUGUGGUGCCCCGGGGCUGAUGACUGUGCCCUCCAGCCUAUCUAACCCAAGGCAGCGGGGUGCUGGUGGUGGUGGUGGAAUAUCACCCCACGCAGGCUCCCACCCUGGGAGGAGGGUGAAGCAGCUGCCCUCCUCCCCCCUGCUUUCCAGUCCCGUCUCACCUAAUGAAGGGUGGUCUACCUCCCCUCGGAAGCCAACCCUCUGCUACCGCAACCCUAACUUAGUGGGACCGCCGUACCUCUGGUUUCCCGAGGGCACUUCCCUGCCUCUGCCAUCCAUGAGAGCUAACCGAAGGACCCAGAACCCACUGCAGGCCCCACCUCUGCUCCUUGUCUCAGCUCCCUCCAGCCCUCAACUGUCUCCAGAGCGACUUCCUCUCCCUCCCCAGGCCACUGCCCUGCACCUCUGGACUCACAUCCACCUCGGGCGGGCAGGAAUUCCCAGGUGUGGGUGCUGGCACGAUGCUCUUCCUCUCGGGUCGUGCCGUGGUGGGCGCCUGCCCAUCAGGCUGGACUCGGAUAGCACCUUGGAUGAGGACGACCGGGGACACUAAGGACCAGAGAGCUGUGAGUCAGGCAGGGCGGAAAGUCUGGAGAGCGUGGGCUCCCACAUGGGUACCCGGCACCCGCGCCUUCCUACCCGCGGGCGGCUGCACAAGUGGCUGCAGGAGGACAGCGGUGCUGGCAGGCGUGGCUCUGGGCGGCAUCUGGACAGCAGUAAGCACCACAGGUUUGGGCUGCAGGGGUGGCUUCCGGGCCGGCGGGGCUCUGCCUGAGGAAGCGAGGAGAAAGGGAGGGGACAGAGGGUCAGGCCCCAGGCUGCGGCCAGGGCCCCAGGGCUCAGAGUGCCCUCUCACCUGUGGAGCUUUCUGGGGCAGGACCCAUGCUGAUCUGGACAGCGCCAAGCGAGGGAGCAGGGGCAUCCCAGAGGAGGCAGCCUGGAGGGGACAGGGGCUCUGUCUUCACUUCAAGCACCUCGUCACCUGCACCAGCCUGCAUGGGGCAUCCACAGAAGUGUCAGGCUGAGGGGAACCCAUUGAGGAGGAGGGGGAGGAAGAGGAGAAUUGGCACGGGCAGCUCGGGCAAGGGGCACCCGCUCACCUGGCCGGGGGAGUCUGCCAAGAGCAGGGAUGCUUCAGAGUUGAUGGAGGAGGACGGGGAGGUGGGCUCCACCUUGGUCUGGAUAUCUGUGGGGUGGCAGGGAGGAGCAGGGCCGGACGUCAGGUGGACACAGAGGAGGAAGGGAAGGAGGUUCUGAGGGGCAAAGGAGAGCUGCUCUUUGCACUUUGCAGAGCUCAGGCGGCAGCAGGUGGAGGCCCUGCAGAGCCGCACUCCAUUCUGCUCCCGCUUCCUGCUACCUUCCCCUCCCUCUUGGUGGCUCCUCCAGAUUUUCUCACCAUUGCUGGUGUCCAGGGCUCGCCCUGUCCAUGUUCCUAACUCUGCUCCAUAGCUGAACUGAAAACCAAUGUGAAAAAACCCACACAGGCCAAGACUGAGUCAGGCUCACAUCUCACCACAAUGCACAGAGGAACGCUUUGGUCUAAGCACAACUCUCACCCAGACAACCUACAGUGCUUGUGUUAGUGCAUAACACUUUCAUCAGUGGGCUUUUUUUACUUUAUUUGCAUGAAAUAUCGUAACUAUGGCUCUAAAGAAAGUUGGUGAUACCAGCAGUAAAGCUAAAAUGAAAACUGUGGGGGCUGGAGAUUUAGCUCAGCAGCAUAAGCCCCUGCCUUGCAAACAGGAGGUCGUGAGUUCGAUCCCCAGUACUGAUAAGCAAAAAAAAAGAAAAACUGUGGCCAGGUGAGGUGGUGCACACCUGUGAUCCUAGCACUGGAGAGGCUGAGACAGGAGCAUCACCAGGAGUUUAAGGCCAGCCUGGGCUACACGGUGAGUUCAAGGACAGCCUGAACUACACAGUGAGACUCUGUCUCAAAAAACAAACAAAAUCAAAAGAAACCUAUGAGAACCACAAUAGUUUAAGAAAGAAAUCACUGUGAGAUCUGUUAAAAUACUGGGAAAAAACGAGUUUAUAAGUGUACUUCUUGGUCCUCAAAGAUGAUUUUUCUAUUAUUUCUUAUGGAACUCAAGGAGAUCUUGGAGUGAAGUAUCCCAAAUUCUAAAGGAAAACAACAACUUACAAUCUUAUGGGAAAAAUAUAUCCAAUUCUUGAACUUCUCAGUGUUUAACCACGAAUUUGGAAGGAACUGAGUUCAACAACCAAGGUAUCACUGUACUUUGUCUGAAAGUUAUUUUAAAUAUACAAACUAAUGGUGAGCUUAAUGACACACAGGAUGCUAGAACAAGAAACAGUCAUCUCUGUCCAGUGUUGCCCUUGGUGUGGUUUCUGAAAAUUCUCCCUUUCCUUCAGGGCUUCUCUCUAGUCAUCUGCCCCCUUCUCCAUGCACUGUCCUCCCCAUCCUACUGCCUGCACCCCUGCUCCAAAUAUGCACGCAAGGAGGCAAAGCCCAGGAUCGUGUUGGGUGGUCAUUACCAGAGGGAUCAUCAGUGGAGGAGCCCACAGUGAUCUGGACGAUUUCAAAUGGGGGUGUCGGGUCAUCUCUCAAGAGGCAGAGUGGAGGCGCUAAGGACUCUGUCUUCACAUGCAGUACCUCUCCUACUCCUGGGGCCUGGUGACAGGAUGCAGGGAUGCAGAAAGAAGGAAAAAAACAAGAGACACCCUGAGAGUAAGAGCAAGAAGAGCUUUAAAGCUUGCAAAACACCAAGUACCUGACCUGUCUGAGAGGUACUGACCAUCACCCUAGGCCUCAGCUCUUUCUUCCUACUUCAUUCCUAGGGGGACUGACGAACACUCAUGAUUUUUUACACUGAACACCUUCAGCAAGAAUAGUAGCAGAAAGCUAGCUUAUGGCACACACCCGUGAUCCCAGCACUCGGGAGGCUGAGGCAGAAGGACCUUUGAAAAAUUUGAGGCCAGCCUGGACUACAAAGUGAGCUCAAGGCCGGCCUGAACUGCAUAGUGAGACCCUGUCUCAAAAUAAAUAAAUAAAUGAACAGUAGCAGAA
This is a long non-coding RNA of Cavia porcellus (domestic guinea pig), 8794 nucleotides long. RefSeq lists it as uncharacterized. The record is from RefSeq and is a predicted model, not a curated record. The transcript is spliced from 3 exons. Lineage: Eukaryota; Metazoa; Chordata; Mammalia; Rodentia; Caviidae.